Molecule: ribosomal RNA, 484 nt
Filed under: uncultured bacterium
Lineage: Bacteria
Description: partial 16S ribosomal RNA
Rfam family: Bacterial small subunit ribosomal RNA
Source: RNAcentral
AUUGAACGCUGGCGGCAGGCCUAACACAUGCAAGUCGAGCGGAGGAAGGGAGCUUGCUCCUGGAUUCAGCGGCGGACGGGUGAGUAAUGCCUAUGAAUCUGCCUGGGAGUGGGGGAUAACGUCCGGAAACGGGCGCUAAUACCGCAUACGUCCUGAGGGAGAAAGUGGGGGAUCGUCGGACCUCACGCUAUCAGAUGAGCCUAGGUCGGUUUAGCUAGUUGGUGGGGUAAAGGCCUACCAAGGCGACGAUCCGUAACUGGUCUGAGAGGAUGAUCAGUCACACUGGAACCGAGACACGGUCCAGACUCCUACGGGAGGCAGCAGUGGGGAAUAUUGGACAAUGGGCGAAAGCCUGAUCCAGCCAUGCCGCGUGUGUGAAGAAGGUCUUCGGAUUGUAAAGCACUUUAAGUUGGGAGGAAGGGCAGUAAGUUAAUACCUUGCUGUUUUGACGUUACCAACAGAAUAAGCACCGGCUAACUUCGUG